UGGGGUAUAGCCAAGUUGGUUAAGGCACGGGACUUUGACUCCCGCAUCGUUGGUUCGAGUCCAGCUACCCCAGCCA
Molecule: transfer RNA, 76 nt
Filed under: Anaerovibrio lipolyticus
Lineage: Bacteria; Bacillati; Bacillota; Negativicutes; Selenomonadales; Selenomonadaceae
Also listed under: 4 other names
Description: tRNA-Gln
Rfam family: tRNA
About the family: Transfer RNA (tRNA) molecules are approximately 80 nucleotides in length.
Source: RNAcentral